RNAcentral lists this ribosomal RNA (251 nucleotides) under uncultured prokaryote. RNAcentral describes it as "partial 16S rRNA". It matches the Rfam family "Bacterial small subunit ribosomal RNA", at positions 525 to 775 of the family's 1533-position model. The record is from RNAcentral.
AAGGAGGAUCCGAGCGUUAUACGGAUUUAUUGGGUUUAAAGGGUGCGUAGGCGGAAUAGCAAGUCAGUGGUGAAAGUUUGCAGCUUAACUGUAAAAUUGCCAUUGAAACUGCUGUUCUUGAGUACAGUAGAGGUAGGCGGAAUGUGUAGUGUAGCGUUGAAAUGCAUAGAUAUUACACAGAGCACCGAUUGCGUAGGCAGCUUACUGGAUUGUAACUGCCUCUGAUACACGUUAGCGUGGUGAUCUAACAG